AAAAAAGAGAGAAAAUAAAACCAAAAACCAUUUCUUGGCUGGUUUGAAGAAAUUCUAAGGAGAUCCAAGUGAAAGCAAAGCCAAAGAAGUAGAUUAAGCUUAGUUCUAGCCUUUUUAUGGAUAAGCACAUCAAUACCUAAGACAUCACUUGUUACACGGUGAAAUAUAUUUUGGACAAAAGGUAGAGAAAGAAAUGUGUGAAUGACAUGAGGAGAACUGAAGCAUGGUCCUGACCCUGAUUUGUACAUAUGAACAUAUCGACCUUUUUGUGGGUUAUUUCAGUUAUCAGUGAGAUGUUUGUAAUAAAGUGUGAAGUUAUGUUUUGAAAACAAAUUGGGUUAUUUAAUACUUAUGUAUAAUAUGUUUGAGACCCACUUUAUGUUUAAUGUAAAUAAUGUGAAAUAA
Molecule: long non-coding RNA, 405 nt
Organism: Humulus lupulus (European hop)
Lineage: Eukaryota; Viridiplantae; Streptophyta; Magnoliopsida; Rosales; Cannabaceae
Exons: 3
Source: RefSeq, a predicted model, not a curated record